CAAGUUCAUAGCCGGGGACUGUGUUUCUGGCGAGCGAGUCCUCUUGAAUAGAUCUAGACAAACCACAAAAGAGAAACGAAGACUUCGCACAUUGAGAUUGAAAGAAAUUCUGUUCUUCGUCUCAGAAUUUUAGUCGAGAAGAUGGUGUCGGAGUUGAUAUUUAGAGGCCACGACGAAACCCAGCAUACGACUGACUCCUACUCGCCGAAGCCGUCCAAGAGAUGGCUUUCCAUCACUCGCCCGAUUCGCUACAUGCUUCGUGAACAACGUCUCGUCUUUGUCCUCGUCGGCAUUGUUAUUGCCACCCUUUUCUUUACCGUCCUUCCUUCCUCUUCUAGAGCCCCAUAUGUGCAGCAUCACAAACAGGAGCCGAUCUCUGAUUCGCUGGCUCACUUAUCUCAUGAGUCGGUGCCAGCGAGAUACAAAUUCUACGAACCUCAUGGGGCCGGGUUCGGUUCAGUAAAUUCGGGCGGGAAGAUCCCGCUGGGGCUAAAACGGAAGGGUUUGAGAAUAGUGGUGACCGGUGGGGCUGGGUUCGUUGGGUCACACUUGGUGGACCGUCUGAUCGAAAGAGGUGACAGCGUGAUCGUGGUGGACAAUUUCUUCACGGGAAGGAAAGAGAACGUGAUGCACCACUUCAAAAACCCGAGAUUUGAGCUCAUAAGGCACGACGUCGUAGAGCCCCUGUUGCUGGAAGUGGACCAGAUCUAUCACCUUGCUUGCCCGGCAUCGCCCGUGCAUUACAAGCACAACCCGGUCAAGACCAUAAAGACCAAUGUGGUGGGGACACUGAAUAUGCUGGGGUUGGCGAAGAGGGUCGGUGCCAGGUUUCUGCUCACCAGCACCAGCGAGGUCUACGGUGAUCCUCUCCAGCACCCGCAGGUCGAGACUUACUGGGGCAACGUCAAUCCCAUCGGUGUCCGAAGUUGUUACGACGAGGGAAAGAGGACGGCUGAGACGUUAACAAUGGAUUACCACAGGGGAGCAGGCGUCGAGGUCAGGAUUGCAAGAAUUUUCAAUACCUAUGGUCCCCGAAUGUGCAUCGACGACGGCCGUGUUGUUAGUAAUUUUGUUGCUCAGGCAUUAAGGAAGGAGCCUUUGACUGUUUAUGGUGAUGGGAAGCAGACAAGGAGUUUCCAAUAUGUUUCUGAUUUGGUAAAAGCCCCUUAUAAUUUCUCUCUUCGGUGAUGCUUUAUUUGCCUUUGUCUUUUGUUUUUGCUUUUGUUGCCCAGUCCAAUCCAAAUUUCAAAAUGCAAGAGUGAACUUUUAAAUUCUAAUUUCUUGGAUUGGAUAUCAUUUGCGUACUAUAACUUUACGAGAUGUUGGGGACUACUAACAUAUUCUGCUUUUUCAUUGCUAAUUUCUGUGGCUAUGACGUUCAAACGCAACUUUUCUCACAAGCACGUGUGCGGUGAGGAAUGAGGAUGCAAUAAUCAAUCUCAUUCACCUGUGCACGUACAUAACAUAUUGUUUUUACCCAAUGCCACAAAUAUCCAUCUGCCUUCCUCCUUUUGCCAUUUUAUGCUUUAACUUUAGAAUGUUUAAGCAAAGUAGCAAAUACCACAAGCAUACCAUUAGCCAGUUAUAAGCCCCAAGUGGGCUUCGUUUAUAGUUGUCCAUGGGUUAGGUAUGGUAUUGUAUAGUUUGAUUUGCUUUGUAAAAACAAGACAAUUUUUUUAGCAUAUUAUGUGUCAAACAGUUCAUUUGUUGGCUGAAAGCGGGAUCCUCAUGUACUCCCUCUACGUUUAUCAUUGACAAUUUCCCGCAUUAUUUAUUGUUCAGAGGUAAAUGCGUAAGGUUGAUGAGCUUUUAGAGCAGAAAUGAAUGCCUUGUCUUGUCUGUGCCUUUCUAUGUGCCAAAACAUAUUUUGGUUGCAUUCUGCUUAUCUUUUUUUAAUAGUUUCUGCUGCUAGUGCUCAGGAUUUAUUUCAAUGUCCUAUUGUAUUUGUAUUUAAAUAUCAGGUUGAAGGUCUGAUGCGCCUUAUGGAAGGGGAACAUGUGGGGCCUUUCAAUCUUGGUAAUCCUGGUGAAUUCACCAUGCUUGAACUUGCUCAGGUGGUACAAGAAACCAUUGAUCCAAAUGCAAGGAUAGAGUUCAGGCCUAACACAGAAGAUGACCCACACAAGAGGAAGCCUGAUAUUACAAAGGCAAAGGAUCUGCUUGGUUGGAAGCCGAAGGUAUCCCUUCGGAAGGGUCUGCCACUAAUGGUCUCAGAUUUCCAGCAACGCAUCUUUGGUGACCACAAGGAAGAUAGCACCACCAGCAUUCUGUCAACAGCUUAAAUUGGCACUUUUUUUCUUGAGCAGCGGCAGCAAUAUAAUUAUUUGGUGGAUAACCAACUUAUCGUUGCCUUCAUCACACGGUUACGUGGCAACAACAGUGGCAGCAAAGAAGUCCGUUAUUCUAUGAGGAAUGAACUUGGAGGUGUUCCUUUCCCAUUUAUUUCAGUCAGCUUCAUAAUCUCCAUGUAUUUUUUUUUUUCGCUUGUAAUUUCUCUUUGAAGGAUAUUAGACAGCCAGCAGCCUUGCAAUUAAAGUCACUUUAAACUUUGAAGCAAUUGAUAUAUGUAGCAGCAUCAGCAACGGCUUCCAUUGUAUUAGUUUUGUUACAUUUACGACGCUCAUCUUCGUAUAUAAAACAGAAUCUUCCGUUCUUCAAUCGAGGAAUUAUAAUUUCUGAUUUCAUGAUGUGCCAGAGAGAUGAUUUUUAACUUG
This 2714-nucleotide unclassified non-coding RNA is filed under the name Hevea brasiliensis (rubber tree). Lineage: Eukaryota; Viridiplantae; Streptophyta; Magnoliopsida; Malpighiales; Euphorbiaceae. The record is from RNAcentral.